GCUGAUGGCUUCUCAAUUUUUUCCUCGAGGGAUUUGGCUGCAGAGAAGGACUUAGAAGAGCUAGUUAGAUUGAGGGAACAAAUUGAGGAUCUGCAAAGGAAGUUAUUGGAGAAAGAUGAACUUCUGAAAUCAGCUGAAAUUUCAAAGAACCAGAUGAAUGUUGUUUAUACAACACUUGAUGAACUGAAACACGAGGCCGCAGAGAAGGAUUCCAUAAUUAAGUCUACUCAACUACAACUUUCUGAUGCAAAGAUCAAGCUUGCGGACAAGCAAGCUGCCCUGGAAAAGAUACAGUGGGAAGCAAUGACUUCCAAUAGGAAAGCAGAGAAGCUCCAGGAAGAUCUAGAUUCUCUCCAAGGAGACAUUUCAUCAUUCAUGGCGUUAUUUGAAGGCUUGACAAAUAAUAAUUCCGCA
RNAcentral lists this unclassified non-coding RNA (414 nucleotides) under Hevea brasiliensis (rubber tree). The record is from RNAcentral. Lineage: Eukaryota; Viridiplantae; Streptophyta; Magnoliopsida; Malpighiales; Euphorbiaceae.